RNAcentral lists this ribosomal RNA (479 nucleotides) under Staphylococcus aureus. Its description in RNAcentral is "partial 23S ribosomal RNA". It matches the Rfam family "Bacterial large subunit ribosomal RNA", at positions 1 to 473 of the family's 2925-position model. Lineage: Bacteria; Bacillati; Bacillota; Bacilli; Caryophanales; Staphylococcaceae. The record is from RNAcentral.
GAUUAAGUUAUUAAGGGCGCACGGUGGAUGCCUUGGCACUAGAAGCCGAUGAAGGACGUUACUAACGACGAUAUGCUUUGGGGAGCUGUAAGUAAGCUUUGAUCCAGAGAUUUCCGAAUGGGGAAACCCAGCAUGAGUUAUGUCAUGUUAUCGAUAUGUGAAUACAUAGCAUAUCAGAAGGCACACCCGGAGAACUGAAACAUCUUAGUACCCGGAGGAAGAGAAAGAAAAUUCGAUUCCCUUAGUAGCGGCGAGCGAAACGGGAAGAGCCCAAACCAACAAGCUUGCUUGUUGGGGUUGUAGGACACUCUAUACGGAGUUACAAAGGACGACAUUAGACGAAUCAUCUGGAAAGAUGAAUCAAAGAAGGUAAUAAUCCUGUAGUCGAAAAUGUUGUCUCUCUUGAGUGGAUCCUGAGUACGACGGAGCACGUGAAAUUCCGUCGGAAUCUGGGAGGACCAUCUCCUAAGGCUAAAUAC